UUUGCUACUUAAAUCUCUGCAACAUUUAGUAUCUUGUCUAAACCCAUUACGCUGAGUGCCAUCAUUAGGGGUUUGUCAUUGCUUCUUCUAUGCCUGAUCACAAUAAUCCCUGCUCUUAGCUUCCUCUUUGGACUAAUUAUCGAACAAUCCCUGCAUUUAGGAUAAACAAUUAAGUGUGAGGUGUGUAAUAAUUAUCGAACACAGGAAGAUUACUUACAAUUUUGUCUUUCUUUAUAUUUUGGAAAAGGAUUUAAGUCCUUGGGACUUGCUUAGGGCUGACAAAGUAUAGAUUUGACUUAGCGCCUGAAACUUACUGAUUUUCCAGGUUAUGACUUUUUUGUUUUGUUUAUGACAGACAUCUAUAUUGAACGGUGCUCAUAAUUUGGUUUCUAUUAUAGAAAGAUGAUCUUUCAAGGAUGUUUAGAAUGUUUGAUAAAAUAUACCAAGGCUUGGAUCCAAUCGCAUUUUGUCACUGCAGAAGGAACAUCACUUGUUAAACAAGCAGAAGAUGCAGCGGCUAAUAUUGUAAUGUUUCUAGCUAUGAUUUCAAAUUGAGUUGUUAAUAACAGUUAAAACAUAGUUCUAAUUUAGUUAUAGGCAUAAUGCUCAUCAUCUAGUUGGAACACUAAUAUCUGGUUCUGUGACAUGUUUAUGUAAACUUGCAUGACUUGCAUGUUCUUCAACAAGGGAGAAGGGAUACUAGUGGAACUCGAGAUCAGGUAAAGUUUUGUCCAUCCUUAUUUAGUUCACCACAUUAACAUUACAUUAAUGGAAGAUAGUCUUUUAUAACAUAUCUUUCAAUUAUGUCAUGUUUAAAUAGAAUGUUUUAAGAUUUGAUUUGUAUUGGUGGUUUAUUAAAUCAAAUUAAUAAGUGGGUCUUAGUUUUUACUAAUAGAACAAAUUUGAUUUCAGAUAAGGCAAUCAAAUUAAUAGGUGGGUCCUAAAUUCUACUGAAAGAAUAAUGUGAUUUUAGAUGAGCCACCUAAACAAGUCAAAGCUUAAAUCAGAAAUUCAAUUAUAAAUUAGUGUUAAAUUCAACAUCAUAUUGCACUAAUAGAAGACAGAUAGUCUUCUGCAAUACAUCUUUCAAUCAAGUCAUGUUUAAACAACACGUCUCAAGCUUUGACUUAUUUAGGUGCUCAUUUGAAAUUACACUUGUUUGUUCUUUUGGUGGAGCCUACCUAUUAGUGUGAUUUAAAAUGAGCCACCUAAAAAACUCAAAGCUUAAGCAAGAUUUUCAAUUCUAAAUUAGUAUUCUUUUAUACUUUGUAAGGAAAAAAGUGUUAUUUAGUUCACCAUAUUACACUAAUGGAAAAUAGAUAGUCUUCUGCAAUAUAUUUUUCAAUUAUAUUAGGUUUUAACAGCAUGUUUCAAGCUUUGACUUGUUCAGGUGGAUCAUCUGAAAUCACACUUUUUCUUUUAGUAAGACCCACUUCUUAGUGAUUUAAAAUGGACCACCUAAACAAGUCAAAGCUUAAACCAUAAUUUCAAUUAUAAAUUAUUGUUAAAGAAGUCCAUCUCCAUGGUAAUCAGUAGUAAUCACUAUAUCCAUGUAAUUGAUUGAAAUUUUGUAUUUGGAUGGUGACAAAAACAGUAAGAACUCCUCUUUUCCUUUAACCCUGGCACUGUGACCCUUGCGUUUUCUAGUGUUGUAGCUCCAUUAUGACUGCUAAAAUGACUUCUUGGACUAUAAAAAUGGACUUUAUUGAAUGGGCUGGAACAAAAUAUCUAUCAAAUGUACUAUUGACUUAGCCCUAUAAUUGCUACUUCAUGUCUUUAUGACUGUAUUUAAGUUGAGAAUAAUGGGUUUUGACUGCAACAAAAGUCUUCAAGACUUCUAAUCCUGGUGAAUGUCUUUCUUUCCUCUGUAUUUCUUGCUCACAACAUGUGAUUGUGUCUUUGCUUGUGGGUAUUAAUCAAUGUUCAUAAAUAUAGCCUCCAUGGGUUAGACAUAUUUAUGAUGCUACUCCAAUCAUCAUUGGCUGCUACCUUAGGCAUAUUUAUUGAUCACUAUCUUGUUACUAAUCACUAUCUUCCAAUGGACUGUGAUCUUUGUGAUAGGUUAUGUAGUAUGCUUUGUGUGGCACUCAUAGAGUGUUAUUAUACACUGAAUAACUGUGAUUGGCCAUGGCAUUGUAGUAUGAUCUUCAUUUGACUGUCCUCCAACCCAUGGCUCAAUUCAUUGACUGAGAAUGAUGGGUUAUUGUGAUAUUUAUAAAUGGUGUAUCAUUGGAGUUUCAAAUCUUUGAAAAUUUAUGGUCUCCAAUACUCUAAUAUCUGACACUAUAUUGUAACUUUAUUGUGAAUAGAAUUCAAGGAUGACCUCGAGCUCUAUGUAUACCCUAAUUUUAAAUAUAUUGGAAUUGAGUUAUUGAAGGUU
Cryptomeria japonica (Japanese cedar) is the source of this 2380-nucleotide long non-coding RNA. RefSeq lists it as uncharacterized. The record is from RefSeq and is a predicted model, not a curated record. The transcript is spliced from 2 exons. NCBI's taxonomy places the organism in Eukaryota, Viridiplantae, Streptophyta, Pinopsida, Cupressales, Cupressaceae.